Molecule: long non-coding RNA, 402 nt
Organism: Acyrthosiphon pisum (pea aphid)
Lineage: Eukaryota; Metazoa; Arthropoda; Insecta; Hemiptera; Aphididae
Exons: 3
Source: RefSeq, a predicted model, not a curated record
ACUUAUAAUAUUACUAAAUCGAUUUACAUUUUAAAGAGGUCACUAUUAGAACACGAAUCAUAUAUAGUCGUAACGAACUUUGGCAGUGAAACCGAAACAAUCAUCUUGUCCAAUGUCAUACAUGAUGUCAAAGAUGAAUUAUUCGUUUAUUUAGGAAGUGAAAAUUCUAAAUACAGCACUGGAAGUAAAGUAUCUUCUGUUUCAACUGGGUCUUUAUUAAAACUGCGACCACUGUCAGUGGUCGUAUUGACAGAUAAAUAUGUUGACCCCGAAUCACCAAGCAAUAAUUCUAGCACCAGAAUAGAAUUGAGUUUGAAAUUAAUUAGUUUAAUCUGUGUUUUUGUACUUGCAAGAUGUUUUUUAUAAGUUUGUUUUACAUACCUAGUUGUUAAGUGAAUUGUA